AUAAUUCCGAUCAUUUUUAAUUUUUUUGGGCUUUUUUUCAACUAAGUUUUUAAGAAGUAUACAAAUUUUUAGUUAAGAUCAAUGAUUCAUUCAUUAGUUAUUGAGGUUUAAAUCUGUUAUAGAUAUUAUUAGGAUUUGAUUAUGAUUUGAUUUAGGAUUUAAGAUUUGAUUAGGAUUUGAUUUAGGAUUAGGGUUUGAUUUAGGAUUUAGAAUUUGGUUAGGAUAUGGUUUAGGAUUUAGGAUUUGAUUUAGGAUUUAAGAUUUGGUUUAGGAUUUAAGAUUUGGUUACGAUUUGGUUUAGGAUUUACGAUUUAGGAUUAGGAUUUUAUUAGGAUUUGAUUUAGGAUUAGGGUUUGGUUUUGGAUUUAGGAUUUGAUUAAGAUUUGAUUAAGAUUUGAUUUAGGAUUUAAGAUUUGAUUAGGGUUUGAUUUAGGAUUUGGUUAGGAUUUGGUUUAGGAUUUAGGAUUUUAUUAGGGUUUGUUUAGGAUUUAAAAUUUAGUUAAUAUUUGGCCUAAAUUUUGAAUGAAGUCGAAAAGGAUUUUAACUAGGAUUAAAUUAAGAUUGAAUUGAGAUAUAUUUGAAAUAUAUUUGUGAUCAUUCUUAUAUUUCUUUAAUAUUUCUUAUUAUUGCUUUAUAAUUCCUUUGAAUUUUCUUUGAAUUUGAUUAAAGCUUACUUAGCAUUGUUAUGAUCUAAUAAGAGUUUAGUUAGUAUUCUAUUAGAGUUCGGAUUUUGUUGUUGCAAUUUCCAUUCUA
This 753-nucleotide long non-coding RNA is filed under the name Physcomitrium patens. RNAcentral describes it as "long non-coding RNA (PPAT_LNC013519)". Lineage: Eukaryota; Viridiplantae; Streptophyta; Bryopsida; Funariales; Funariaceae. The record is from RNAcentral.